This 404-nucleotide ribosomal RNA is filed under the name Actinomycetes bacterium. RNAcentral's name for it is "Actinobacteria bacterium partial 16S ribosomal RNA". It matches the Rfam family "Bacterial small subunit ribosomal RNA", at positions 355 to 776 of the family's 1533-position model. The record is from RNAcentral. Lineage: Bacteria; Bacillati; Actinomycetota; Actinomycetes.
UGGGGAAUAUUGGACAAUGGGCGCAAGCCUGAUCCAGCCAUGCCGCGUGAGUGAUGAAGGCCCUAGGGUUGUAAAGCUCUUUCACCGGUGAAGAUAAUGACGGUAACCGGAGAAGAAGCCCCGGCUAACUUCGUGCCAGCAGCCGCGGUAAUACGAAGGGGGCUAGCGUUGUUCGGAUUUACUGGGCGUAAAGCGCACGUAGGCGGCCUAUUAAGUCAGGGGUGAAAUCCCGGGGCUCAACCCCGGAACUGCCUUCGAUACUGGUCGUCUUGAGUUCGAGAGAGGUGAGUGGAAUUCCGGGUGUAGAGGUGAAAUUCGUAGAUAUUCGGAGGAACACCAGUGGCGAAGGCGGCUCGCUGGCUCGAUACUGACGCUGAGGUGCGAAAGCGUGGGGAGCAAACAGG